Molecule: ribosomal RNA, 460 nt
Filed under: uncultured bacterium
Lineage: Bacteria
Description: partial 16S ribosomal RNA
Rfam family: Bacterial small subunit ribosomal RNA
Source: RNAcentral
CCUACGGGAGACAGCAGUGAGGAAUAUUGGUCAAUGGACGAGAGUCUGAACCAGCCAAGUAGCGUGAAGGAUGACUGCCCUAUGGGUUGUAAACUUCUUUUAUAUGGGAAUAAAACGUUCCACGUGUGGGAUUUUGUAUGUACCAUAUGAAUAAGGAUCGGUUAACUCCGUGCCAGCAGCCGCGGUAAUACGGAGGAUCCGAGCGUUAUCCGGAUUUAUUGGGUUUAAAGGGAGCGUAGGUGGAUUGUUAAGUCAGUUGUGAAAGUUUGCGGCUCAACCGUAAAAUUGCAGUUGAAACUGGCAGUCUUGAGUACAGUAGAGGUGGGCGGAAUGCGUGGUGUAGCGGUGAAAUGCUUAGAUAUCACGAAGAACUCCGAUUGCGAAGGCAGUUCACUGGACUGCAACUGACACUGAGGCUCGAAAGUGUGGGUAUCAAACAGGAUUAGAUACCCUUGUAGUC